This 74-nucleotide transfer RNA is filed under the name Candidatus Legionella polyplacis. Its description in RNAcentral is "Legionella endosymbiont of Polyplax serrata tRNA-Val". It matches the Rfam family "tRNA". Rfam says of the family: Transfer RNA (tRNA) molecules are approximately 80 nucleotides in length. Their secondary structure includes four short double-helical elements and three loops (D, anti-codon, and T loops). The record is from RNAcentral. Lineage: Bacteria; Pseudomonadati; Pseudomonadota; Gammaproteobacteria; Legionellales; Legionellaceae.
GGGUACUUAGCUCAGUUUGGGAGAGCGUCGUCCUUACAAGGCGAGGGUCGCAGGUUCAAUUCCUGCAGUACCUA